CUACCAUUCAGCUUGCUCUACAUGAAGCUGUAUGAGAACGACAUAUGCAAAUGGUUGUAAUCUACCAUCCAAUAGGAAAUGGAGGCACUGGGAACUUCAUUUCAGGAUGCUUGCCAUUUCACAGAUCAUAUCCCUGAACAGAAGCGUGAGAAAUUAAAUCCACAGCUAGUGGGGAAAGAACAGCCCAAGGCCACAAAUGCUUUCAACCUCUCAUUUGUUGCACGGCCACCGAGUGUUCUUGCCUGGGGCAGAAACAGCUUCUCAACAUGCUGUCCAUGCCAGUUAAAGGCAAUGAUCCACCGCGAUGGAAGCCUAUGCUGUCGGUCGUGUUCUUUCUCCCCCGGUCGAGAUGAG
This 354-nucleotide long non-coding RNA is filed under the name Oryza brachyantha (malo sina). RNAcentral describes it as "long non-coding RNA (OBRA_LNC001818)". The record is from RNAcentral. Lineage: Eukaryota; Viridiplantae; Streptophyta; Magnoliopsida; Poales; Poaceae.